RNAcentral lists this ribosomal RNA (330 nucleotides) under uncultured eukaryote. Its description in RNAcentral is "partial 18S ribosomal RNA". It matches the Rfam family "Eukaryotic small subunit ribosomal RNA", at positions 1470 to 1796 of the family's 1831-position model. The record is from RNAcentral.
CCCUUAGAUGUCCUGGGCCGCACGCGCGCUACACUGAUGCAUGCAACGAGUUUAUAACCUUGGCCUGAGAGGUCUGGGUAAUCUUUUGAACGUGCAUCGUGAUAGGGAUAGAUUAUUGCAAUUGUUAAUCUUGAACGAGGAAUUCCUAGUAAACGCAAGUCAUCAGCUUGCAUUGAUUACGUCCCUGCCCUUUGUACACACCGCCCGUCGCACCUACCGAUUGAAUGGUCCGGUGAAAUCUUCGGAUUGAGACUUUGAUUUGUUUACUCAAAACGCUGUUUCAAGAAGCUGAUUAAACCUUACCAUUUAGAGGAAGGUGAAGUCGUAACA